CAGACAACACAUACUACAUGCAGAAUAGGUCUUUCCGACAACUACCCUACUACCGCCACGACGUCACCUCAAAGUGGCCAACACCACCAACUUUUAGCAACCAAUUUUCACAUUCCAUGAUUGUACCUUUGAGCCAAUGAUUAGGAUCCUUCUCAGUUGAAUCAAAGACCAAGAUUUGUCCCUAAUAAAAAUAAAAUUUCCCUCUUCCAUCCCGUAUAAAUUGGGGUGGAUUCCAGGCAUUGAAAAACAAUAAAUCAUAAGCCAAAGUCGGAGACAAACCAGCCCCUCGGUUCUUAUUCUGCUAAUCUUCUUCAACCUCUUUCCUCUCUUCUUUCUCCACCACCAGCUACAUACCAGACUCCCCAGCAUCACCAGGAACACCACUAGCAACUUUUCUCCUCUCCAGGCAAUCCUUCAUCUUCUUUUUCUUCUUUAAACCUCCCUCCCGGGCCGCCCCAGGUAGCCAUUUGAAUUCUGCAUGCAAAUAGCAAAAGAUAAUUAACAAGAGAGAGGUUAGGUCUUCUAUAGACCCAAUAUGAUCAGAUUAGGCUUGGGCUUGGGCUCUAGGCCCAGCCUAAUCUUUUUAAAAAAGAGAGGUUAGGCCUUUUAUCGGCCCAACUUGACUAAGUUAGGUUGGACCCAUUUCCAGCCCAACCUGUAUGGUUGGGGUGGGUCGAACCAAGAUUAAAAAAAAGGUCUGUUAGGCCAUCAGUUGACCCAACCUAACCGAGUCCGGUCCCGAUAGCUGAGCUAGGUCCAACCCACUUAAUAAAUAAAUAAUAUAAUAAUAUUAAAAGUAUAUAUAUAUAUAUAUAUUAAAAAAAAUCAAGUUUUUCAAAAGGCAUUUUAAAAAUAUUUAGGGCCCCUAGCAUGUUUUUCCAACUAUUUUGCAUAAUAUCAUGUUGUAGACUUAUACUGUAACAUACAAACUCGAUAUUAAAAAUACCUGAUUUUCUCUGACUUAAAAAAAAUCUACAUAUUUUCUAGAGAGAUAAAAUCAUUUUUGUCAUGUUUUUUUUAAUACAAAAUGAAUAUCAUAACCGGUUUAUGACUAUUUAUUAGGGUUUGACCAAAAUAUAAAAAAUAUCAUUAUAAUUUACUUGUCAUUCAAAAUGCUAGGACUUAGCUAUAUCUAAGAAAUAAAUAAGUUUGAUUCUUAAAAUAGUUAGGAUUUAACCCAAUAAGAUAUAGACUUUCUCACGAAUGGAGAUCUACCUUGAAACUUAGACGAGACCAAUAGACAUAAAUGUGACUUAGAAUAACAAUUAAACAAUAAUGCAAUUUACCUUAGAUAUGGUGCAUUAGGGAUGAUGUGUCUUUCUCUUGCAUAACUAGUCUUUUACCUAAACUCUUGCAGACCAUUAGGUUUUCUAGUAAUUAUAAUAUUAGGUGGAGACUAUUGACUUCAUAAUCGUAAUUUUAUGAUUAAACUUUAAAAUUCCUUUUUAACACAUUCAGGAGAUAGAUCUACCACUCAACAUCGUGCACAUCACAACACACAACAUCAAAGAAGGGUAUCCUAAAAACUAGAAUACAAGAAUAAAUUCACACACAUAUCAACACCAACAUAGAAAGUAAAAAUAAAAAAAAAAUGAAUACUCACAACUAAUAUUUACAAUAAAAAACAACAUUAAGGUUUUACAAAUAUUUAAAAUUAUAAAUCUAAAAAAAAAAAAAGCAAUGUUGUUACCGUUGGUGACUUUGCUUCUUCAUGGCAAUCAACUAGAUACUUGGAAUAGUAGCUCGAAAGAGUAUUGUCAAGGCCACCCUCGCCCAU
RNAcentral lists this long non-coding RNA (1777 nucleotides) under Populus tremula. Its description in RNAcentral is "long non-coding RNA (PTRE_LNC002692)". The record is from RNAcentral. Lineage: Eukaryota; Viridiplantae; Streptophyta; Magnoliopsida; Malpighiales; Salicaceae.